GACGAACGCUGGCGGCGUGCUUAACACAUGCAAGUCGAACGGAAAGGCCCUGCUUGUGUGGGGGGCUCGAGUGGCGAACGGGUGAGUAACACGUGAGUAACCUGCCCUGGAUUUUGGGAUAACUUCAGGAAACUGGGGCUAAUACCGGAUAGGAGAUCCUGCUGCAUGGUGGGGGUUGGAAAGUUUCGGCGGUUGGGGAUGGACUCGCGGCUUAUCAGCUUGUUGGUGGGGUAGUGGCUUACCAAGGCUUUGACGGGUAGCCGGCCUGAGAGGGUGACCGGCCACAUUGGGACUGAGAUACGGCCCAGACUCCUACGGGCGGCAGCAUUGGGGAAUAUUGCACAAUGGGCGUAAGCCUGAUGCAGCAACGCCGCGUGCGGGAUGACGGCCUUCGGGUUGUAAACCGCUUUCGCCUGUGACGAAGCGUGAGUGACGGUAAUGGGUAAAGAAGCACCGGCUAACUACGUG
Molecule: ribosomal RNA, 468 nt
Filed under: uncultured bacterium
Lineage: Bacteria
Description: partial 16S ribosomal RNA
Rfam family: Bacterial small subunit ribosomal RNA
Source: RNAcentral